GAUGAACGCUGGCGGCAGGCUUAACACAUGCCAGUCGAACGGAAAGGCCCUGCUUGUGUGGGGUGCUCGAGUGGGGAACGGGUGAGUAACAGGUGAGUAUCCUGACCUUGACUUUGGGAUAACUUCAGGAAACUGGGGCUAAGACCGGAUAGGAGCUCCUGCUGCGGGGUGGGGGUUGGAAAGUUUAGGCGGUUGGGGAUGGACUCGCGGCUUAUCAGCUUGUUGGUGGGGUAGUGGCUUACCAAGGCAUUGACGGGUAGCCGGCCCGUGAGGGUGACCGGCCACAUUGGGACUGCGAUACGGCCCAGAGUCGUACGGGAGACAGCAGUGGGGAAUAUUGCCCAAUGGGGCGAAGUGUGAUGCAGCAACGCCGCGUUAGGGAUGACGGCCUUCGGGUUGUAAACCGCAUUCGGCUGUGACGAAGCUUGAGUGACGGUAAUGAAUAAAGAAGCACCGGCUAACUACGUG
Molecule: ribosomal RNA, 468 nt
Filed under: uncultured bacterium
Lineage: Bacteria
Description: partial 16S ribosomal RNA
Rfam family: Bacterial small subunit ribosomal RNA
Source: RNAcentral